Molecule: ribosomal RNA, 501 nt
Filed under: uncultured bacterium
Lineage: Bacteria
Description: partial 16S ribosomal RNA
Rfam family: Bacterial small subunit ribosomal RNA
Source: RNAcentral
AUUGAACGCUGGCGGCAGGCUUAACACAUGCAAGUCGAGCGGGGGAAGGUAGCUUGCUACCGGACCUAGCGGCGGACGGGUGAGUAAUGCUUAGGAAUCUGCCUAUUAGUGGGGGACAACAUCUCGAAAGGGAUGCUAAUACCGCAUACGUCCUAAGGGAGAAAGCAGGGGAUCUUCGGACCUUGCGCUAAUAGAUGAGCCUAAGUCGGAUUAGCUAGUUGGUGGGGUAAAGGCCUACCAAGGCGACGAUCUGUAGCGGGUCUGAGAGGAUGAUCCGCCGCACUGGGACUGAGACACGGCCCAGACUCCUACGGGAGGCAGCAGUGGGGAAUAUUGGACAAUGGGGGGAACCCUGAUCCAGCCAUGCCGCGUGUGUGAAGAAGGCCUUAUGGUUGUAAAGCACUUUAAGCGAGGAGGAGGCUACUCUAGUUAAUACCUAGGGAUAGUGGACGUUACUCGCAGAAUAAGCACCGGCUAACUCUGUGCCAGCCGCCGCGGUAA